AAGUCUGGUGCCAGCAGCCGCGGUAAUUCCAGCUCCAAUAGCGUAUAUUAAAGUUGUUGCAGUUAAAAAGCUCGUAGUUGAAUUUCGGGGUUAGUAGAUUGGUCGUGCCACUGGUAUGUACUGGUCUUACUGAUUCCUCCUUCCUGAUGAACCGUAAUGCCAUUAAUUUGGUGUUGCGGGGAGACUGGACUGUUACUUUGAAAAAAUUAGAGUGUUUAAAGCAGGCUAACGCUUGAAUACAUUAGCAUGGAAUAAUGAAAUAGGACGUUCGAUCCUAUUUUGUUGGUUUCUAGGAUUGACGUAAUGAUUAAUAGGGAUAGUUGGGGGCAUUAGUAUUCAAUUGUCAGAGGUGAAAUUCUUGGAUUUAUUGAAGACUAACUACUGCGAAAGCAUUUGCCAAGGAUGUUUUCAUUAAUCAAGAACGAAAGUUAGGGGAUCGAAGACGAUCAGAUACCGUCGUAGUCUUAACCAUAAACUAUGCCGACUAGGGAUCGGAUGAUGUUAUUUUUAAUGACUCAUUCGGCGCCUUUACG
RNAcentral lists this ribosomal RNA (533 nucleotides) under uncultured Glomus. Its description in RNAcentral is "SSU rRNA". It matches the Rfam family "Eukaryotic small subunit ribosomal RNA", at positions 557 to 1093 of the family's 1831-position model. Lineage: Eukaryota; Fungi; Glomeromycota; Glomeromycetes; Glomerales; Glomeraceae. The record is from RNAcentral.